This 73-nucleotide transfer RNA is filed under the name Prunus dulcis (almond). RNAcentral's name for it is "tRNA tRNA.Arg". It matches the Rfam family "tRNA". Rfam says of the family: Transfer RNA (tRNA) molecules are approximately 80 nucleotides in length. Their secondary structure includes four short double-helical elements and three loops (D, anti-codon, and T loops). Lineage: Eukaryota; Viridiplantae; Streptophyta; Magnoliopsida; Rosales; Rosaceae. The record is from Rfam by way of RNAcentral.
GCGCCCGUGGCCUAAUGGAUAAGGCGUCCGACUUCUAAUCGGGCGAUUGUGGGUUCGAGUCCCACCGGGCGUG